This is a long non-coding RNA of Ipomoea triloba (trilobed morning glory), 739 nucleotides long. RefSeq lists it as uncharacterized. The transcript is spliced from 4 exons. Lineage: Eukaryota; Viridiplantae; Streptophyta; Magnoliopsida; Solanales; Convolvulaceae. The record is from RefSeq and is a predicted model, not a curated record.
CAUCCUGCGCCGUCAAUUGCAACACCGAUUUUCUCUCCGUUGGUUGACGUUUUAGAAGCUUAAAGGUGGCGGUUGGCGAUUAGUCAUGAGCGUCGGCGAGUUAAUUGCGUGGUCCUCGUAAGGUUCGUUACGUUGUUGGUUAUCAGUCGCCGGCGAUGUUGAGUCCGUAGUCAAUGCCAGAGCGAGGAGGGUCGCGGCCGGGCAAGAGGGCUGUAGGUGCGGCGUUGGCGUCAGAACCAGUUUGAGUAUGAAUUUGAGUCAUGCCCUGCUACCAUGGCUAAUGGAGAAGUGUGUUGAUACCAAAAGUAUGUGUAAAUUUGGUAAGUGGAGGAGAUGUCAUCUACGGUGUUGCCCACCAGCACAUAGGAGGGAUUGGUUCAGCUCUUUAUGGGGAGAGGCUGAGCCACAUUGGAGUCAUGGGGAUGUUUUACAUGUUAGUCGCCGAACCUUUGCAAGAAUCUAUUCUCUCACGCAUGCUCAACUUGAGAUAGGUGCAGCAGUGAGCCAAUGAAUCCAACAGAUGAUGUUUGAGCUUUAUUUGCGUCACAUGGGGAAUUGUAGUGUUUGUUGCUGUCGUAGUUGUGAUUAUUGUUAAAUAAAUGUUGUGCAGGAAGCUAAGUACGUGACAGCGACUAUGAAUCAAAUUUAAGUCGUGUUUAUGCGUGUACUAUGUCAAAUAUUGUGGAUUGUGCAGUUAAAUAAAUAUUAUGUGAAAUAAAUAAAAGUGAAUUUUAUUUUA